GACGAACGCUGGCGGCGUGCUUAACACAUGCAAGUCGAACGAUGAACCGGAGCUUGCUCCGGGGAUUAGUGGCGAACGGUGAGUAACACGUGGGCAACCUGCCCCAGACACCGGGAUAACCUUCCGAAAGGAUGGCUAAUACCGGAUACGACCACUUCGGGCAUCCGACGGUGGUGGAAAGGAUUCUGGUCUGGGAUGGGCCCGCGGCCUAUCAGCUUGUUGGUGGGGUAAUGGCCUACCAAGGCGACGACGGGUAGCCGGCCUGAGAGGGCGACCGGCCACACUGGGACUGAGACACGGCCCAGACUCCUACGGGAGGCAGCAGUGGGGAAUAUUGCGCAAUGGGCGAAAGCCUGACGCAGCGACGCCGCGUGAGGGACGAAGGUCUUCGGAUUGUAAACCUCUUUCAGCAGGACGAAGCGAAAGUGACUGUACCUGCAGAAGAAGCACCGGCUAACUACGUGCCAGCAGCCGCGGUAAU
RNAcentral lists this ribosomal RNA (481 nucleotides) under uncultured bacterium. RNAcentral describes it as "bacterial SSU rRNA". It matches the Rfam family "Bacterial small subunit ribosomal RNA", at positions 28 to 524 of the family's 1533-position model. The record is from RNAcentral.